This 515-nucleotide ribosomal RNA is filed under the name uncultured bacterium. RNAcentral's name for it is "partial 16S ribosomal RNA". It matches the Rfam family "Bacterial small subunit ribosomal RNA", at positions 28 to 523 of the family's 1533-position model. The record is from RNAcentral.
GAUGAACGCUGGCGGCGUGCCUAAUACAUGCAAGUCGAGCGAAUGGAUUAAGAGCUUGCUCUUAUGAAGUUAGCGGCGGACGGGUGAGUAACACGUGGGUAACCUGCCCAUAAGACUGGGAUAACUCCGGGAAACCGGGGCUAAUACCGGAUAAUAUUUUGAACUGCAUGGUUCAAAAUUGAAAGGCGGCUUCGGCUGUCACUUAUGGAUGGACCCGCGUCGCAUUAGCUAGUUGGUGAGGUAACGGCUCACAAAGGCAACGAUGCGUAGCCGGCCAGGGAGGGUGAUGGGCCACACUGGGACUGAGACACGGCCCAGACUCCUACGGGAGGAAGCAGUAGGGAAUCUUCCGCAAUGGACGAAAGUCUGACGGAGCAACGCCGCGUGAGUGAUGAAGGCUUUCGGGUCGUAAAACUCUGUUGUUAGGGAAGAACAAGUGCUAGUUGAAUAAGCUGGCACCUUGACGGUACCUAACCAGAAAGCCACGGCUAACUACGUGCCAGCCGCCGCAGUAA